GACGAACGCUGGCGGCGUGCCUAACACAUGCAAGUCGAGCGGGGUUGAAGCGAGAGGUAACUCGAACUUCUACCUAGCGGCGGACGGGUGAGUAACGCGUGGGCAACCUGCCUCAAGGUCUGGGAUAACAGCCCGAAAGGGCUGCUAAUACUGGGUAUGCUUGUGGCCUCGCAUGGGGCUAUGAGCAAAGGGGAAACCCGCCUUGAGAUGGGCCCGCGUCCCAUCAGCUAGUUGGUGAGGUAACAGCUCACCAAGGCGACGACGGGUAGCCGGCCUGAGAGGGUGACCGGCCACACUGGGACUGAGACACGGCCCAGACUCCUACGGGGGGCAGCAGUGGGGGAUCUUGCACAAUGGGCGAAAGCCUGAUGCAGCGACGCCGCGUGAGCGAAGAAGGCCUUCGGGUUGUAAAGCUCUGUCUGGAGGGACGAAGGAAGUGACGGUACUCCGGAGGAGCCACGGCUAACUACGUGCCAGCAGCCGCGGUAAAACUCAACGUGUACG
RNAcentral lists this ribosomal RNA (504 nucleotides) under uncultured bacterium. RNAcentral describes it as "bacterial SSU rRNA". It matches the Rfam family "Bacterial small subunit ribosomal RNA", at positions 28 to 538 of the family's 1533-position model. The record is from RNAcentral.